Xenopus laevis (African clawed frog) is the source of this 432-nucleotide long non-coding RNA. RefSeq lists it as uncharacterized. NCBI's taxonomy places the organism in Eukaryota, Metazoa, Chordata, Amphibia, Anura, Pipidae. The record is from RefSeq and is a predicted model, not a curated record. The transcript is spliced from 3 exons.
CCUCCUGCCCGAUUCCUGCCCACAUCUGGGGCCCCGAGAUCGCCCACAGUGGCCCCUGCUCCCCUGACAUGUCGCUGCAACUCCGUGCGAUUCUCCACUGUGCGCUGCACCUGUUCGACAGGCUGUGGUCGUGUCCAAUUGGAGGACAGGAAGUGUCCUGAAGCGGUUUGUGGGGCACGAGCGAGAGGUGACUAAGGUCUACUGUGUGUUUGGGUCAAACAGGCUCUUCAGCUCCUCCAGAGACAAGACGGUGCUGGUGUGGGACCUGCACAGGAAGCUCUGCUGGCCCAAAGAUUUAUGGGACACCAUUAAGUUGUCACAGGUGUAGCUGUGAGUCCAUUUCAGCAAUGGGCCCUUAUACUGACUAAUCAAUAUGGCAGCUCCCAGUCAGUACCCUGUAUAGCAGGGAACCCCAACCUUUUGAACCUAUGA